UGCCAGCAGCCGCGGUAAUACGGAGGGUGCUAGCGUUAUUCGGAAUUACUGGGCGUAAAGCGUAUGUAGGCGGUUCGGUAAGUUGGUAGUGAAAGCCCAAGGCUCAACCUUGGAACUGCUACCAAAACUCCCGAACUAGAAUUCGGCAGGGGAAAGUGGAAUUUCUAGUGUAGAGGUGAAAUUCGCAGAUACUAGAAGGAACACCGGAGGCGAAAGCGACUUUCUAGACCGAUAUUGACGCUGAGAUACGAAAGCGUGGGUAGCAAACAGGAUUAGAUA
This 279-nucleotide ribosomal RNA is filed under the name uncultured bacterium. RNAcentral describes it as "partial 16S ribosomal RNA". It matches the Rfam family "Bacterial small subunit ribosomal RNA", at positions 506 to 784 of the family's 1533-position model. The record is from RNAcentral.